RNAcentral lists this unclassified non-coding RNA (356 nucleotides) under soil metagenome. RNAcentral describes it as "partial contains 5.8S ribosomal RNA, internal transcribed spacer 2, and large subunit ribosomal RNA". The stretch from base 1 to 121 matches the Rfam family "5.8S ribosomal RNA", at positions 35 to 154 of the family's 154-position model. The record is from RNAcentral.
GAUGAAGAACGUAGCGAAAUGCGAUAAGUAAUGCGAAUUGCAGAAUUUCCGUGAGUCAUCGAAUCUUUGAACGCACAUUGCGCCCAUUAGUAUUCUAGUGGGCAUGCCUGUUCGAGCGUCAUUAAGUCCACUUAAGCCCUGCUUAGUGUUGGGAGACUGCUCCAGCGGUGCUACCCUGUAGCUACCCUGCAGCUCCUCAAAGACAGCGGCGGAGUUGUGGUAUCCUCUGAGCUUAGUAACUUGUUCUAGCUUUCGAGUACACCACUUCCCCUGCCGUAAAACCCUUAAUUUUUAAUGGUUGACCUCGGAUCAGGUAGGAAUACCCGCUGAACUUAAGCAUAUCAAUAAGCGGAGGA